UUUCCCUACGGGGGGCAGCAGUGAGGAAUAUUGGUCAAUGGGCGAGAGCCUGAACCAGCCAAGUCGCGUGAGGGACGACGGCCCUACGGGUUGUAAACCUCUUUUGCCGGGGGACAAACGGCGGCACGCGUGCCGUCCUGAGGGUACCCGGAGAAAAAGCAUCGGCUAACUGCGUGCCAGCAGCCGCGGUAAUACGGAGGAUGCGAGCGUUAUCCGGAUUUAUUGGGUUUAAAGGGUGCGUAGGCGGAAUGCCAAGUCAGCGGUAAAAUCGCGGGGCUCAACCUCGCUCCGCCGUUGAAACUGGG
RNAcentral lists this ribosomal RNA (305 nucleotides) under uncultured bacterium. RNAcentral describes it as "bacterial SSU rRNA". It matches the Rfam family "Bacterial small subunit ribosomal RNA", at positions 334 to 637 of the family's 1533-position model. The record is from RNAcentral.